AGGGAAGCGAGAUGGCGACAUGGAGCAAAUCCCAAAAAUAACGUCCCAGUUCGGAUUGCAGCCUGCAACUCGGCUGCAUGAAGCUGGAAUCGCUAGUAAUCGCGGAUCAGAAUGCCGCGGUGAAUACGUUCCCGGGUCUUGUACACACCGCCCGUCACACCAUGGGAGUAGGUAAUGCCCGAAGUCGGUGACCUAACCGGAAGGAAGGAGCCGCCGAAGGCAGGACUUAUAACUGGGGUGAAGUCGUAACAAGGUAGC
This 258-nucleotide ribosomal RNA is filed under the name uncultured bacterium. RNAcentral's name for it is "partial 16S ribosomal RNA". It matches the Rfam family "Bacterial small subunit ribosomal RNA", at positions 1243 to 1500 of the family's 1533-position model. The record is from RNAcentral.